UUAAAAAGCUCGUAGUUGGAUUUCUGUCGAGGGCGGCCGGUCCGCACUAUGUGCGUGUAUCUGGUUCGGUCUUGGCAUCCUCUUGGGGAUCGUUCGUGUGCUUGAUUGCAUGCGACGGAAUUCAAGACCUUUACUUUGAGGAAAUUAGAGUGUUCACGACAAGCUAUCGCUUUGAAUACAUUAGCAUGGAAUAAUAAUAUAGGGCGUAAGUUCUAUCUGUUGGUUCAUAGAAAAUACGCAAUGAUUAAUAGGGAUAAUUGGGGGCACUCGUAUUAACGCGUCAGAGGUGGAAUUCUUAGAUUGCGUUACGACGAACUACUGCGAAAGCAUUUGCCAAGGAUGUUUCAUUUGAUCGAGAACGAAAGUAUGGGGAGCGAAGACGAUUAGGUACCGUCGUAGUCUAUACCAUAAACUAUGCCA
This 420-nucleotide ribosomal RNA is filed under the name uncultured marine eukaryote. RNAcentral describes it as "SSU rRNA". It matches the Rfam family "Eukaryotic small subunit ribosomal RNA", at positions 619 to 1044 of the family's 1831-position model. The record is from RNAcentral.